RNAcentral lists this ribosomal RNA (503 nucleotides) under uncultured bacterium. RNAcentral's name for it is "bacterial SSU rRNA". It matches the Rfam family "Bacterial small subunit ribosomal RNA", at positions 30 to 518 of the family's 1533-position model. The record is from RNAcentral.
CGAACGCUGGCGGCGCGUCUUAAGCAUGCAAGUCGAACGGCAAGGCAGGUGCUUGCACCUGCCCUAGAGUGGCGGACUGGUGAGUAACACGUGGGUGACAUGCCUUUAGUUGGGGAUAGCUACUAGAAAUAGUAGAUAAUACCGAAUGUGAUCAAUAUUUAUAGAUGAUGUUGAGGAAAGGAGCUAAGGCUUCGCUAAAAGAUUGGCCCGCGGCCCAUUAGCUAGUUGGUAGGGUAAAGGCUUACCAAGGCGAUGAUGGGUAUCCGGCCUGAGAGGGUGAUCGGACACAUUGGGACUGAGAUACGGCCCAGACUCCUACGGGAGGCAGCAGCUAAGAAUAUUCCACAAUGGACGAAAGUCUGAUGGAGCGACGCCGCGUGGAUGAUGAAAGGCCGAAAGGUUGUAAAAUCCUUUUACACUGGAGGAAUAAGCAGAGUAGGGAAUGACUCUGUGAUGACUGUACAGUUUGAAUAAGCAACGGCUAAUUACGUGCCAGCAGCAGC